GACUACAGGGGUAUCUAAGCCCGUUCGCUCCCCACGCUUUCGCGCCUCAGCGUCAGUGACAGUCCAGAGGGCCGCCUUCGCCACCGGUGUUCUUCUCGAUAUCUACGCAUUUCACCGCUACACCGAGAAUUCCGCCCUCCUCUCCUGUACUCUAGCCGAGCGGUUUCCAGCGCAAUUCCUCAGUUAAGCCGAGGGAUUUCACACCGGACCUGCUCAGCCGCCUACGCGCCCUUUACGCCCAGUAAUUCCGAACAACGCUAGCCCCCCCCGUAUUACCGCGGCUGCUGGCACGGAGUUAGCCGGGGCUUCCUUUGGAGGUACCGUCAGAGCUUCGUCCCUCCCGACAGGGUUUUACGUUUCGAAAAACUUCAUCACCCACGCGGCGUCGCUGCGUCAGGCUUUCGCCCAUUGCGCAAGAUUCCCCACUGCAGCCCCCCGUAGG
This 442-nucleotide ribosomal RNA is filed under the name uncultured bacterium. Its description in RNAcentral is "partial 16S ribosomal RNA". The record is from RNAcentral.